This 442-nucleotide ribosomal RNA is filed under the name Rhagovelia sp. 2 AC-2018. RNAcentral describes it as "partial 12S ribosomal RNA". The record is from RNAcentral. Lineage: Eukaryota; Metazoa; Arthropoda; Insecta; Hemiptera; Veliidae.
UCGGUUUAGUGAUUUAUUAUGUUUUUAUAAUUGUAAUUUUUUUUUAAUAUUAAUAGUUAUGUUCUUUAAAUUAAAAGAAUUUGGCGGUAAUUUAAUCUUUCUAGAGGAACCUGUACUGUAAUUGAUAAUCCACGAUUGAUUUCACUUCAUUUUUGUUUAUAUAUCGCUGUCAUUGAAUGUUUUAAAAGAAUAAUUUUCUUAAAGUUUUAUGAAUUUAAUGUUAGGUCAAGAUGUAGCUAUAUUGAAGGAGAUAUGGGUUACAAUAAAUUUAUUUUUGGAUUAAUAUUUUUUAUUUAUUAUGAAAUUGGAUUUAGGUGUAAUUUUUAAAAAAUUUUAAUUUUGAUUUUAGCUCUAAAUUAUGUACACAUCGCCCGUCACUCCCAUUUUAAGUUGGGAUAAGUCGUAACAAAGUAGGCCUACCGGAAGGUGGGCCUGGGUUUCA